Molecule: long non-coding RNA, 4032 nt
Filed under: Sus scrofa (pig)
Lineage: Eukaryota; Metazoa; Chordata; Mammalia; Artiodactyla; Suidae
Description: lncRNA (ENSSSCG00035031883.1)
Source: RNAcentral
CAGAGGCCUCUUUCACAGGCUGACUAAUCCAUAUUUUUUUCCCCCACAACUCGGCUUCUAUGAAGAGCCACUCAAAAGACUCUCAGAACAGCAUCAGGAGAAAACAUUUCAUAAGGUUUAAAAAACAACAGAUAAUAGUGUGCAUUAGAUGCUCAGUAAAGAAAGGCCCCUGACUUCUCAGAAUUGAAUUCUGCUGUACUAAUCAGUUUCUUUCUCACUUUCCAUGCUGAUCCCAACUGGGUGCACCUGCCUUCACCCAGCCAGGGCCCCAGGGAUUAUGAAAAUAAUAGAGCGUUGAGCCAAGACUGUUGGACAACAGUGAGAGAACAUGCUUUGCGGACUGGAGUCUGGGAUGUUCUCACAGAGAUUUAAAAUGGGUUUUGAAGGAUGAGAGGGAAAGGCAGACGCCAGGAGGAGAGAAUACCAUCCACAGUGGCACAGAUGACUGAAAGAACGUCACGUAAAAAAGAUAGGACUGUGGUUAGUCGGGACUUCUCUUAAGUCAGGAAAAUAAAAUAUUGAAAUUUAAUCUACUUUUUUAGAAAUAAAAAAGACCAAACUUCAGUGAUCUCUAAAAGGCCCAUAGGUUGAACUCUUCAUUUCUCUAAAAUCCUUAAAUGAGUGGUUCCUACAUGUAUUAAUCUGAACUUCUACAACUGUCCUAUGUUCCAGACACGUAGUUGAAUUCUCUGGAAUCUGUUAUUUUCCUGGCAUACCUUAUUCAAAUCCUUUCCCGUUUUUUAUUGGCUUCCAAGUGUUACCCUCCUCUUUUCUUGCUUACCAUUUAGAAUCUUGUCAAAUGAUUUUCCACAUCUUCCCAGACUAUGACGAGGUUGACUAAGAAUUUGUUUUGGCAUAGCUUUUUUUCAGUUUCUCUUUAUUAGCUGAAAUGGAAUCUUCUACCUAAAAUGACAUAUGGCAAGACCUAGAGGAAAAAAUGAUAAUAAAACAAUCUCAGCCUAAUGAGAGAGCCAACCACUGAACGUUCUUCCAUAAAGAAAUAUCCAGAGGGGAAGACAAAUGUUUCAGCAAUAUUUCGCAUUGAACAAGUUGCACAGUUCUUUAUUACUGCAUUAUCAGAUGUAUAUUCCUAUAUGCUCCCAUCCUCAGUGGAUAAAAGCAAACUUUUCCCUUUCUUAAAAUUGAGAGUGUUAAAGGUUAUUCCUGUUAUGUGUGAACAAAGGAGGAACCAACAUUGAUUAGCAUACACCGUAAGCUAGGCUCUGUGGUAGGUGAGUCUGAAUGGUAUCUUGUUUAAUCAGCUAUCCAUGUACCUAGAUAGGGAGAUGGUCUUACAAUUUCAGCAUAGUUAUAAACUUCAGAGUUCAUAUAACCACUGCCCUGAUUCUUUAGAGGCUAGUUUAGAGGACGUUAGUAGGGUAGAUUUGUGGUUCAUUAACAGCCAUGAGGGGCUAGAGCCCAGGUCCCUGAUUCUCCGUCCAAUGCUUUUUCUGCAGCAGGCUGAGAUUUGCAGGACAUUUACCUUCUCAUCCCUUUUCUCUUCCUUCUCCCUUCUCUCCCUUUUUCUUUCUUUCUUUCUUUCUUUCUUUCUUUUUUUCUUUCUUUCUUUCUUUCUUUCUUUCUUUCUUUCUUAACAGUGCAGUUAUCUCUGUUCUUUGAGAAUGGGAUGUUUGAAGUCAUCCUUCAACAGGGAUGAAGGAAAUUAAUUCAACAUUUAUCGAAGGAUUAUUUUCUGCUCUCUAGACACCAUGUUAUACAUUUGGUUGGAUACAGUAGAUAAGCUGUACGGAGAUAACUAAAAUACAAAGCAGCGUACAUAAGUGCUUGGUAAACAGGUUUUACAGGUUGUCAGAGGUGGAUGUGAGGAAGCUGGCCCGGGACUUGGGCUUUUAAGGAAUGAGAGAGAUUUUCAAAAGGAAAUAAGGACUGAAGGUAGGAAAAGAAUUCAGGUAAUGUGAAGAGUAAUAACAAGCAUACAGAGGAAGGAACCUAUUGAGGGGGGUGUCGAGUAGAAUCACAUGACUAACAAAGAGUUUGUAUUAGAGGAGAAAAUGGAAGACUGGACUGGGAAACAGGCUGUGAUGUUUACGCAGCCAGGCAAUGAACUCUUCCUAUUAUCUAGACUACAGUAGCUCAAAUACAAAGAGGGUGGAAGCCCCAGUCAGAUGUCGUGGAGGUGUAGACAGGUCACCUAGAAUUUGGCUGGAAAUGGACAAAGUCAACAACCAGGUUAAAUAAGGAUGCUGCUAAGAACUGGGUGGAGUGUCAGGAGCCACAGUUCAAGGAGACUCUUACUAACACUCUCCUUCCUCCAGGGGGAGCUCAAGGUUUCCAUCUUUCAUUCCAAAGUAGAAGGAACUCUGAAGUGAAUCUUUGUUCUAGAUUCGCUAGAAUCUAGGGAAUUUAUAGGAAGAAAUAGGAGAAUUUAUAGCAACAAUGAUUCUGUGGUACAUUCUGUUGGAGAAGUGAAGUCAUUAUAAAUGAAAGUGGGCUGAGAGAAUAUUUUCCCCAUCAGUCAUCUCUGGCGACUCUCAGCUCUGGUCAGCUCUUGUAAUACUCUUAUCUUGUCACCUCUUCCCCGACUCUGAUUAGUGUCUGGGACAUUCUGAAGUCAGAAGGGCAAGCGUCCCUGGGGAGUCCACAUUGUCUAGCCCAGCUGCUGAGCAAGAGACCUAAUAGGAUUUGGGGCCAGCAUGAGCUGGUAAUAAAGAAUGGGCAUUUGCCCCGAGAGUUCUUUGCAUGGUGAGAAGCUUGUGUAGCCACUUGUAUGAUGCAGAGUCCUGGUCAGACAGCUUCCGCCUAAGUGUAUAUGAUCUGGUGUGGUUACUUAGGGGUCUAGGAUUUCAUGGGUGGGAUUCUUGCUGAGAUAGGAUCUUACUCAAAGCUUCAGCUGAUGAUUACAAAUAGGCAGAGGUGGAGAACUAUUUCUGGCAGCAAAAAAGGCUGAAGCUACAAAGACCCUUAGCUGCACAUUCGUGUGGCUUCAUCCCUCAUGGUGGCAGCAGAAUCUGGCUUUGGUCCGAGGUCACUUCUGGGACUGGAACAGUGUCAUCAGCAGGAGCUGGGAAUUUGAAGGAAUGCAAAGCCAAAUGUGAGGCACAUGCCUUCUCUAAAAUAAAAUCUGUCUGGGAGUUCCCUGGUGGUGCAGCAGGUUAAGGAUCCGAGCUGUGGUUCAGGUCACAGCUGUGGUGCAUGUUUGUUCUCUGGCUUUGGAACUUCCACAUUUAAAGACAAAAAAAAGAUAAUUAAAGUCUGUCUGCCUUCUUGAACAGAGCCUGCCUUGUCUUAAUUUAGGAGGAAGGAGCUGGAAAUGCAAGAGCAAUAGCAUGAAUCUAGGACCCUGGAAAACUGUUUAAUCUCCAGGAAUGAAGGAGACCUGUGAAUGACCUAGGGGAGACAGAUGCCAAACUUUAAAAUUCUUCGUUUUGCUGGUUCACAGUGAUAUUUAAGUCCAGAUCUUUGGGAGGGCAGGCAGCCUGCACAGGUGUUGGACUUACCCUAGCCUUUGAGUAUCAGAAUGUCAUAAUUUUAACCUAAUUUUUUCCCUGCAUACAUUCAGAGAACAUUUUUGGUUUUGGUUUUGGUUUUUUACUGCCUUUUAUGUUUCAGUUAUAGGAACCACAUAAUUGUUCUAGCCUGCCAGCUGAUAUUCUAACAUGAAAGCCUAUGGGUUCUAGUCCAAAUAAUCUCUUAUUCUAUCAUUUAUAUGCUUCUAACUUUUCUUAUUUAUUUAGUAAUAUUUUUAUCUCCUUAUAGAACUUAUAAAUGAUUAAUGCAGAAUAUUUGAAAACACAAAAACAGGGAGUUCCUGUCGUGGCGUAGUGGUUGACGAAUCCGACUAGGAACCAUGAGGUUGCGGGUUCGGUCCCUGCCCUUGCUCAGUGGGUUGACGAUCCGGCGUUGCCGUGAGCUGUGGUGUAGGUUGCAGAUGCAGCUCGGAUCCCGCGUUGCUGUGGCUCUGGCGUAGGCCGGUGGCUACAGCUCCGAUUUGACCCCUAGCCUGGGAGCCUCCAUGUGCCGCAGGAGCGGCCAAAGAAAUAGCAAAAAAAAAAAAAAAAAAAAGAAAAAAAA